This 323-nucleotide ribosomal RNA is filed under the name uncultured eukaryote. RNAcentral describes it as "partial 18S ribosomal RNA". It matches the Rfam family "Eukaryotic small subunit ribosomal RNA", at positions 1470 to 1796 of the family's 1831-position model. The record is from RNAcentral.
CCCUUAGAUGUUCUGGGCCGCACGCGCGCUACACUGAUACGUUCAACAAGCUCCUUGGCCGAAAGGUCUGGGUAAUCUUUGAAACCGUAUCGUGAUGGGGAUAGAACAUUGCAAUUAUUGUUCUUCAACGAGGAAUGCCUAGUAAGCGCGAGUCAUCAACUCGCGUUGAUUACGUCCCUGCCCUUUGUACACGCCGCCCGUCGCUCCUACCGAUUGAACGUGCUGGUGAAGCGCUCGGACCGCGGCCUCUUGACGGUUCGCUGUCGAUUGGCUGUGGGAAGUUCGUUAAACCUUAUCAUUUAGAGGAAGGAGAAGUCGUAACA